RNAcentral lists this ribosomal RNA (1307 nucleotides) under human gut metagenome. RNAcentral's name for it is "bacterial LSU rRNA". It matches the Rfam family "Bacterial large subunit ribosomal RNA", at positions 884 to 2274 of the family's 2925-position model. The record is from RNAcentral.
GUGAUUAAGAUUAUCGGAGGUAAAGCACUGAAUGGCCUAGGGGUCGAGAGAUUACCGAAGCCUAUCAAACUCUGAAUGCCGAAUAAUCAUGCACGGGAGUCAGACUGUGUGAGAUAAGUUUCAUAGUCGAAAGGGAAACAGCCCAGACCUACAGCUAAGGUCCCAAAGUACGUUUAAGUGGAAAACGAUGUGAAAUUGCGUAGACAACCAGGAUGUUGGCUUAGAAGCAGCCAUACAUUAAAAGAGUGCGUAAUAGCUCACUGGUCGAGUGACUUUGCGCGGAAAAUUUAACGGGGCUAAAACGUACACCGAAGCUUAGGCUUGCAACUAUGUUGCAGGGGUAGGGGAGCGUUGAAUGAGGGGUGAAGUCGUAGCGAAAGCGACGGUGGACUUCAUUCAAGUGAGAAUGCCGGAAUGAGUAGCGAGAAUUAUGUGAGAAUCAUAAUGGCCGAAAGCCUAAGGUUUUUGGAGGAAGGUUCGUCCGCUCCAAGUAAGUCGGAAGCUAAGGUGAGGCUGAAAAGCGUAGCCGAUGCACAAACGGUUGAAAUUCCGUUACCACAGAAAGAUUUAAACUAAGGGACACUUUUGAAGAGCUGAUGCCGGGUGUUGGUUACCCCGGUCGUAAGGGAACGAAAUCAAGUAGUGAAGUCAGCGUGGAUGAAGGCGAGAAAAGCUUAGUGUAUAUCUUAUGUGUCCGUACCGCAAACCGACACAGGUAGGUAGGAAGAGAAUUCUAAGGCCAACGGGAGAAGGGUAGUUAAGGAACUCGGCAAAAUGUCCCCGUAACUUCGGAAUAAGGGGAGGUUUCUACGGAAACCCGCAGAGAAUAGUCCCAGGCAACUGUUUAUCAAAAACACAGCUCUAUGCUAAAUCGAAAGAUGACGUAUACGAGGUGACGCCUGCCCGGUGCCGGAAGGUUAAGAGGAGGAGUGAGAGCCCUGAAUCGAAGCCCCGGUAAACGGCGGCCGUAACUAUAACGGUCCUAAGGUAGCGAAAUUCCUUGUCAGGUAAGUUCUGACCCGCACGAAUGGCGUAAUGAUCUGGGAGCUGUCUCAACUGCCCGCCCGGCGAAAUUGUAGUACCGGUGAAGAUGCCGGUUACCCGCGACUAGACGGAAAGACCCCAUGGAGCUUUACUGUAGCUUAAUAUUGGAUUUCGGCAUUUCAUGUACAGGAUAGGUGGGAGACUAGGAAACAUAGGCGUCAGCUUAUGCGGAGUCGUCCUUGGGAUACCACUCUUGGAGUGCUGAAAUUCUAACCUGCAGCCCUGAAUCGGGUUGGGGGACAUUGUUAGGUGGGCAGUUUGAC